CCUACGGGAGGCUGCAGUGAGGAAUAUUGGUCAUUGGGCGCGAGCCUGAACCAGCCAAGUCGCGUGAGGGAGGACGGCCCUACGGGUUGUAAACCUCUUUUGUCGGGGAGCAACGGGCGUCACGUGUGGCGCCACUGAGAGUCCCCGGAGAAAAAGCAUCGCCAAACUCGGUGCCAGCAGCCGCGGGAAUACGGAGGAUGCGAGCGUUAUCCGGAGUGAUUGGUUUAAAGGGGUGCGUAGGCGGAAUGCCAAGUCAGCGGGAAAAUCGCGGGGCUCAACCUCGCUCCGCAGUUGAAACUGGCGUUCUUGAGUGGGCGAGAAGUAUGCGGAAUGCGUGGUGUAGCGGUGAAAUGCAUAAAUAUCACGAAGAACUCCGAUUGCGAAGGCAGCAUACCGGCGCCCAACUGACGCUGAAGCACGAAAGCGUGGGUAUCGAACAGGAUUAGAUACCCCAGUAGUC
Molecule: ribosomal RNA, 460 nt
Filed under: uncultured bacterium
Lineage: Bacteria
Description: partial 16S ribosomal RNA
Rfam family: Bacterial small subunit ribosomal RNA
Source: RNAcentral